CUUCACUGAAUUAUAGCUUCA
This 21-nucleotide non-coding RNA is filed under the name Arabidopsis thaliana (thale cress). Lineage: Eukaryota; Viridiplantae; Streptophyta; Magnoliopsida; Brassicales; Brassicaceae. The record is from RNAcentral.